RNAcentral lists this long non-coding RNA (880 nucleotides) under Fukomys damarensis (Damara mole-rat). Its description in RNAcentral is "lncRNA (ENSFDAG00000026875.1)". Lineage: Eukaryota; Metazoa; Chordata; Mammalia; Rodentia; Bathyergidae. The record is from RNAcentral.
GUCAGAGAAUCCGUCUGCAAAGCCAGUGUCUAUUUUUACUAUCCAGCCACAGACGUGGUUGCUUUAACUGAGGAACUGCACCAGGAUUCUUCGUUUGCAUAAGAUGAGGAGUAGCGGCCUCUGAUAGUCCACAGGCGCUGAUCUCCAUGUCGCAAGACUUCGUUCGAGACGUCAGUGGCCAGUCAGUUAGCAGUGUGCUCGGUACUACCACAUGCGGCUUGUGCAGAGGUUGGAGAAAAGAGCUAAGAAAAGAGUGUGUCCCUCCCGGGAGCUCCCCUGCAGAUGCCUGAGUGUCGGACACCAGCAAAGGAUGGCUGAUGGCAACAGAGCCACCAAGAGAGGAUUCCGCCACAGAGCAAAAAGAGUUCUCCAACCACUGUCCUAAACUGGUGAUCGCCUGAGUUCCAGGAAAAACAGAGCCCGACAGACUACUCCACGGUGAGAGCACCCUCCUGAGCGGAAACAGUCAUCUCCUGGGGACCGAGUUGUCCCUGAAGUCAUGAGGGUUCCUCCAGAGCUACAACGCCAGGACUGAGGUAACGAUGCACUGACCCCAGCCCACACCACGUCCCAUAAGCCUGGGCUCUUCGUUAGGGGACCAGAUUGUCAGAGCUGUGCUCCCCUUUAUUCUCUCCUACUUUCCAGUUAAAGUUUUUGUCUGUAGAUUCAUACUUUGCUUUAGUAUUCAUUUCUUUUGUCACUAAAGCAGGGACCCAGACUGCUGGGUGACAGAGGGACCUCAGAACAACAGUUUCCAACCCAGCUUUCCGAGCUGGGAUGAAAUAAAAUACCUUGGUUUUUCUUAACCUCUAACUGAAAUUUAACAUAUCCUAUAAUUACGAAUGUAGGCAACAAACUGGAGGAGUAAUAGCAGCACCUG